UACGGAGGGUGCGAGCGUUGUCCGGAAUCACUGGGCGUAAAGGGCGCGUAGGUGGCUCGUUAAGUGGCUGGUGAAAUCCCGGGGCUCAACUCCGGGGCUGCCAGUCAGACUGGCGGGCUCGAGCACGGUAGAGGCGGAUGGAAUUCCCGGUGUAGCGGUGGAAUGCGUAGAGAUCGGGAAGAAUACCGGUGGCGAAGGCGUUCCGCUGGGCCGUUGCUGACACUGAGGCGCGACAGCGUGGGGAGCAAACAGG
Molecule: ribosomal RNA, 253 nt
Filed under: uncultured bacterium
Lineage: Bacteria
Description: partial 16S ribosomal RNA
Rfam family: Bacterial small subunit ribosomal RNA
Source: RNAcentral